RNAcentral lists this Y RNA (114 nucleotides) under Propithecus coquereli (Coquerel's sifaka). Its description in RNAcentral is "Y RNA (ENSPCOG00000000947.1)". It matches the Rfam family "Y RNA". From Rfam's summary of the family: Y RNAs are components of the Ro ribonucleoprotein particle (Ro RNP), in association with Ro60 and La proteins. The Y RNAs and Ro60 and La proteins are well conserved, but the function of the Ro RNP is not known. In humans the RNA component can be one of four small RNAs -- hY1, hY3, hY4 and hY5. The record is from Rfam by way of RNAcentral. Lineage: Eukaryota; Metazoa; Chordata; Mammalia; Primates; Indriidae.
GGCUGGUCCAAAGGUAGUGAGUCAUCUCACUUGAUUGUUCACAGUCAGUUACAGAUUGAACUCCUUGUUCUACUACUUUCCCCCCUCCUCACUACUGCACUUGACUAGUCUUUA